Molecule: unclassified non-coding RNA, 294 nt
Filed under: Irpex hydnoides
Lineage: Eukaryota; Fungi; Basidiomycota; Agaricomycetes; Polyporales; Irpicaceae
Description: partial internal transcribed spacer region
Rfam family: Eukaryotic small subunit ribosomal RNA (bases 1-46)
Source: RNAcentral
AAGUCGUAACAAGGUUUCCGUAGGUGAACCUGCGGAAGGAUCAUUAUCGAGUUUUGAACGGGUUGUAGCUGGCCUCUCACGAGGCAUGUGCACGCCUGGCUCAUCCACUCUUAACCUCUGUGCACUUUAUGUAAGAGAAAAAAAUGGUGGAAGCUUCCAGGAUCUCGCGAGAGGUCUUUGGUUGAACAAGCCGUUUUUCUUUCUUAUGUUUUACUACAAACGCUUCAGUUAUAGAAUGUCAACUGUGUAUAACACAUUUAUAUACAACUUUCAGCAACGGAUCUCUUGGCUCUC